Molecule: ribosomal RNA, 253 nt
Filed under: uncultured bacterium
Lineage: Bacteria
Description: partial 16S ribosomal RNA
Rfam family: Bacterial small subunit ribosomal RNA
Source: RNAcentral
UACGUAGGGGGCAAGCGUUGUCCGGAAUCAUUGGGCGUAAAGAGCGCGUAGGCGGCCCAGUAAGUCCGCUCUGAAAGUCAGGGGCUCAACCCCUGAAUGCGGGUGGAUACUGCUGGGCUAGAGUCCGGAAGAGGCGAGUGGAAUUCCUGGUGUAGCGGUGAAAUGCGUAGAGAUCGGAAAGAACACCAACGGCGAAAGCACUCUGCUGGGCCGACACUGACACUGAGAGACGAAAGCUAGGGGAGCGAAUGGG